This is a non-coding RNA of Chrysemys picta bellii (western painted turtle), 718 nucleotides long. Lineage: Eukaryota; Metazoa; Chordata; Testudines; Emydidae. The record is from RefSeq and is a predicted model, not a curated record.
UCGAACAUGGUCACUCCUGAGUCCUUAUUCUCCUGCUCUGCGAAGCUCGAGGUCUCCCCUGUAGAGUCUGGGCUGCCCUGGGGCCAGGCAGCAGCGUGUGGAUACAGCUGCCAGGCAGAGCUGGGCAAACUCUGCAGGGGCCAUUUGCCAGCCUGCUGUUCAGAGACAGGAACUCGCCAAGCCCCAGGGAAGGCCAGUUUCCUCGGAGCCCGGUCACAGUCUGUUCUCCAGCCCCGCUCUCUGGAUCGGGCUCUUCCUGGAGAAGGUGCUGACAGCCGCCUUCCUCCUCUUCCUCUUCCUGAGAAGCAAAGCGUAACCAGCCCCUGCUCAAUUUCCCUGUUUUCUCGCACUGUUGCCUCCUGCCAACUUCUCUGUCUACAGCCUCUGUCCCCCAGUGCAGGAAACGAGUCCCUAGAUGGUGGAGCUGCAGUGACCCCUGCUGGCCAAUCAGAUGGAGCCCAGGCUUGACAGAGCGAAGGUGAAGGGGUGACCUGGUUACAGUCUAUAAGUACCUACGUGACAUGGGGAACAAACAUUUCAUAAUGGGCUCGUCAGUCUGGCAGAUAAAGGUCUGACACACGAUCCAAUGAAUGGAAGUUGAAGCUAUACAAAUUCUGACUGGAAAUGAGGCCUAAAUUUUUAAUGAUGAGAGUAAUUAACCAUUGGAACAAUUUACCAAGAGUUGUGGUGGAUUCUCCAUCACUGACAAUUUUAAAAU